UAUAAAUGUUCGCAGUUUUCGCGGAUUGAGCCUCUACCGCGAAAAUUUAUACCCACGAAAAUUUAUAUCUUUAUUGAAUAGUAGGCGUGUUCAGUAUUAUUGACCACACCUAUCGACAAUAAGAGGUGCCUCACCAUUAUAUAGGCUAGGCCUGGAUUCGAGGCUAACGGUGUGGAGGUACAGCUGCAUGUUGAUGUGCGCAUGCGCCAAAAGGCUGGAACUCAGACCACGAAAAUAAAAUCCGCGAAAUCCUUUGUAAUGGUCUAUCCGCGAAAAUUUAUACCCUCGAAAUAUACCCGCUAUACGGUACUCAAAGGGCGUGGUUAAUUUCGAUGCGCUCCAGUUGGAAAACAGUCAUGGAUUUCAUGGAAGUAGUAAGACGUUCUCGGGUGGAGGGUGUGAGUCUGCAGGCAGCCAGGGAAGGAGACAUCAUCGUGGGGGGAACUCUCGUGGUGACUGCCUAUAUACUCCACCAGGAGAUAGCUGGGGAAGAUGAGCUCAUUAUUCUGCAUGUGGCUAUAGACCACGUUGAGCGUGUUAAGGCUCCUGCACUGACUGCUGUGGUGUGUUUGAAGGAAUGGUUUGAAGGACUUCCGGAGGCUACAGUUUGAGUUCCAGAUCCUAGAAGAUUGUGUGGACAUGAUGGAUGCCCUGGAGGCUCUCUCUAAACCAGUUCGUAUUCACCAUCUCCAUGCCUUUACCCACUUCCCCGUGUGACCCUCCCCCCAAUGUUGUGGCCAUUCUCAACAGCUGAAGCCUUAUUAGCGGCAUGGGGCUGUUCGCCAGAGCGUUACAGAAUCAGCUACAUCAAUAGGGGCUUCAAAGUGUGUGCUUCCUACCCCCAGGAUAUCAUUGUGCCUCUCUCAAUAACUGAUGAUGAAAUAAAAAAGAGUGCUACCUACCGUCACCAAGGGAGGUUCCCGAUGGUGUGCUUCCAUCAUAAGAAGAGUGGGGCAGUGUUGAUCAAAUGUGGGCAGCCACUGGUGGGGCCGACCAGUAAGAGGUGUCGGGGAGAUGUGAGUAUUCUCAACACUUGUCUCCCUGGACUCAGCAAAGGGAAGGUCAUGGACAUACGCUCCCAGUCCAUCGCACAGCAGCACAUCGCACAGCAGCACAUCGCACAGCAGCACAUCGCACAGCAGCACAUGAGUAAAAGUACAGGGUUUUUAGAAUCUUUGCAACCUCAACGAUAGGGUUGAGUGUUGAGCGUUCCUUACAUGUGUGUAUGGUGCAAAGCAUUCCAUAUAUAAGGAACACUCAACCCUAUUGUUGCUGUUGUAGAUUCUGCAAAACCCUGUGUGUGUAAAUGCCUAUUUUAAUGCCAUGGGAAGAGCCGCAACAACUUUCUACCAGAGACUGUCAUCGAUGCUCAGUGAGAAGAGAGAUGUACCCUACAAUACAAUGAUAGAGUGGGUACGAUGCCGGUUGAGCUUUGCCCUACUGAGGGCAUCCAAUAUGGAAAUUAGGGAUGCCAGAUCAACAAGAAACAGACCAGCUAAGGAUGUACUUCUGAGCCAAUCAAGGUCCAGGUCCUCCGAGGGACACCUAGGACCUAACUAACUGUUUUCUAUUAUAAACCUUUUUACUUUGAAAUUCACUUGUUUUGUAUCACAACUUAUCAUCAUUAUAAUUAUUAUACAUGCAGGACCAACUUUGCAUAAACUAUAUUGUCAGACCCUUCAUAUGCGCAUAAGCUUAUCACCAACCAGGGUUAGCCUAACCAGAGAUAGAGUAAUAGAGGGAUUGGCAACGGGAGUAACUCACGUGAUCAUUUCACAUUGAUUUCAUAUUGAUUUCCUCUCAACCAUCCUUGAUGCGCAUUAUUUCCCGGCACAACGCCCGCGAAACGAAGUAAUAUUACUUUUAGUUAGUUAUUAGUCUCAUGAGACUUUAGAAUUGCGUAUAGUAAGGCUACACGUGUCCUGUGCUUUAUUUAAAGUGAAAUCCAAGCGUGGAAGAAUUGACUGUGGUGCUCUAGAGCUUGAAAACUAGUUAUUAUUGGUCUGUGCCCCCUUUUAAGAAGCACUGCCGUAGCCAAAUGAUGUUUUGCCUACAGAUCCUGCUUAUUUGUGUCUAUGUUGAUGAACUGGCCUGCAUACAUUUCCUUGGUUAAAUCUGUUUUGUAUGUUUUUUACCAAAAAUGCUAAAAUGGAGGCUGUAAAAGACGAGAAAGUGUUAUAUUAGUUUGUGCCCCUUUUAAGAAGCACUGCUGUAAGCCUAUGAUGUUUUACCUACAUAUCUUGUUUUGUUGUGUCUCUGUUGAUCAACUAGGCUGCAUAAAUUCUUGAUUUUGAUUUUCUUAAGCAUGUUUUUUACUUUUAGAUAAAUGGAUGAAAAAAAGUCGAUGACGUAGCGCAUCAAGGAUAGUCACAUUUUUUCGACCGUUGCCAAUCCCUUUCCUUACUUUAUCUCUGGCCUAACCUAACCCUAACCCUAUUUCGUGAGUGUCUUAUGAAGUCAACUAGAUUUCAUUUUAGCAGGUAAUGCCAUAUAUUCCAAUCAGUAUAGUGAAUGGCAACACAUUUUGAGACAAACCAGCUCUGCACACGAAUACUGUCCCCAACAAGGUUAAAUCAUAUGGCGCAGCUGUACCCACCUGGACCUGGCCAUAUAGUGAUCUUCACUCAUCCAUUCUUUAUUUUGGGUAACACUGCAUGAUGGGCAGUCAUUUAUGUCAUGCAUACUUUCACAGGUUGGGGCUUUUUCCAUCCAUUGUCCGUUGUCCUGACACUUUCUCCAUCCCACAUAUAUUGCACCCUUCAGACUAAACCCAUCAUUGCAGGAAGAGUCUCAUCUUUUUCCAGGGUGCCUUCCUCCUACAACACGUAUACCUUGCCAUUAGCUGGGGCAAUCAGUGCUGGGCACUUGACUUCUAAAGUUUAGAUGAAUACAUAAAUUUAUAUGGGGGCAAACACAUUGAAGCAGUACACUCACUUUCACAGGUUGGGGCUUUUCCCGUCCAAUGUCCUCACACUUUCUUCAACACACCUUUCAGACUGAACCCAUCAUUGCAGGAGUAGUCUGCUCUGUCUCCGGGCUUGGUCCCUGAAACUUGCACUUUGCCAUCUUGAGGUGCACUGAGAGAUUAAGGACAAUUUCUUACAACAGCUGUAAAGAAUGAAAUGAUAUAGCUACAGUGCCUUCAGCUUUGAGAGUAAAUACCACAAUAGGGUGAGUAGUUGUACUUAAAUGUAUCUCAAGAUUGGAACAUUUCUAAGAAAUUGUGCUUAUACCAUUGUAUAGGUGAAUGAAUAUUAAAGCUACAUCAAAAAUAUUUCCUCAAAAGUUGUUGUAGUGGGAAAUCGUUCUAGGUGAAAAAGGGGGUGAUCUCGUAAAAAAAUAUGUGUAACAUCAAAUAUCAUCCUCCGGAACUAAAGUAUUUCUAGACACAUUCAGAAAAUUUAUUAACAAUUAAAGUGCAAAAACAAUUAGACCUUAGACGACAAAUUUGCUUGAGUUCCAUCGUUAAGCAAACAGGCACCCAAAAUACCCCAUAAUUGAGUAUUAAUAUUUAAGUAUGUGUACUUAUGUAAGCUAACCAUGCAUAUGUUAACUAUUCAGGAAUGUUGUGCCAAAGUUCCAUACCUUAGCCGAAAACAAUUGGUCUUUUCCAUCCCUAAGCAAUUGUCCACUAUAGAAAAAUGUUGGUGUUAGCUAUAUAAACCAUCACAUACCCACCACCUUUGGUUGCUAUGGAAAUCUUUUUGGAUGAGUUUUAUUCACCAACACAAUGGUAUCAUAUUUUCUUAGAAAUGUUCCAAUCCCAAAAUAUUUACAUUUAGGUACCAAUACGCACCAAAUUGCGUUUAUUUACUCCAUAGACUAAAAUUAAUGCACUGUAUGUAGAUUUAAAAUUAAUGUUAUGUUAACAGUGCUUUAGCUGGAACGAGUUUGCAAACGAAUUGGCUGUAGCCUGAAAGCUCAAAUCCCUCGGAAGACCACUUUCUAUCCGAUUGGGUAGUGAGAGUUUACAGGGUGAAAUUAACCAUAAUUCUUUGCAGCAACAGGAGCUCUGCAAAUUAUUGUUGGCAUAAUUUACCAAAUGCAUUAUACAGUUCCACGUAUGUUACAGCAGUUCAACUCUUACCUAUACUCUUGUUUAUGUGUAUGCUAUUAGACAUGAGACAUGCAUGCAUGCAUAUUCACGCUUUGUGGGCAAUCAUCUUCAAUAGACC
Molecule: long non-coding RNA, 4175 nt
Organism: Halichondria panicea
Lineage: Eukaryota; Metazoa; Porifera; Demospongiae; Suberitida; Halichondriidae
Exons: 4
Source: RefSeq, a predicted model, not a curated record